AUUAACACGUUCGUCGCCACGUCACCCAUAUCUAUGUGACGGAUAUACUGCCGUGGGGUCCCGUCACCAAAGUAUGGUGACGCUCUUCUUUAAUGCGAAUCGCUCAUGUGGUGGUCUCAAGAAUGAUCUUUCGUUUCGUUUGUUCGCAACAUUAAAACCACUAACUGUUGUUGAAUAUAAUGAAGGAACGUGUGGUAUAGAUUAUUCCGACCAAAUGGUUUCUUAUGCCACCACAAUUAGGAAAGGAAUCAAAUGG
Molecule: unclassified non-coding RNA, 256 nt
Filed under: Bombus terrestris (buff-tailed bumblebee)
Lineage: Eukaryota; Metazoa; Arthropoda; Insecta; Hymenoptera; Apidae
Description: misc RNA ENSBTSG00005022323.1
Source: RNAcentral